Molecule: transfer RNA, 70 nt
Filed under: marine eukaryotic metagenome
Rfam family: tRNA
About the family: Transfer RNA (tRNA) molecules are approximately 80 nucleotides in length. Their secondary structure includes four short double-helical elements and three loops (D, anti-codon, and T loops). Further hydrogen bonds mediate the characteristic L-shaped molecular structure. tRNAs have two regions of fundamental functional importance: the anti-codon, which is responsible for specific mRNA codon recognition, and the 3' end, to which the tRNAs corresponding amino acid is attached (by aminoacyl-tRNA synthetases). tRNAs cope with the degeneracy of the genetic code in two manners: having more than one tRNA (with a specific anti-codon) for a particular amino acid; and 'wobble' base-pairing, i.e. permitting non-standard base-pairing at the 3rd anti-codon position.
Source: RNAcentral
GACCGUAGCUCAAUGGUUAGAGCAGCUGACUCAUAAUCUGCUGGUUGCAGGUUCGAGUCCUGCCGGUCCC